Molecule: ribosomal RNA, 302 nt
Filed under: Klebsiella pneumoniae
Lineage: Bacteria; Pseudomonadati; Pseudomonadota; Gammaproteobacteria; Enterobacterales; Enterobacteriaceae
Description: bacterial LSU rRNA
Rfam family: Bacterial large subunit ribosomal RNA
Source: RNAcentral
UCGGGUGAGACUGCGUACCUUUUGUAUAAUGGGUCAGCGACUUAUUUUCUGUAGCAAGGUUAACCGUAUAGGGAAGCCGCUGGGAAACCGAGUCUUAUCUGGUCGUUAAGUUGCUGGGUAUAGACCCGAAACCCGGUGAUCUAGCCAUGGGCAGGUUGAAGGUUGGGUAACACUAACUGGAGGACCGAACCGACUAAUGUAGAAAAAUUAGCGGAUGACUUGUGGCUGGGGGUGAAAGGCCAAUCAAACCGGGAGAUAGCUGGUUCUCCCCGAAAGCUAUUUAGGUAGCGCCUCGUGAACUC